Non-coding RNA from Megalopta genalis, 412 nucleotides. Lineage: Eukaryota; Metazoa; Arthropoda; Insecta; Hymenoptera; Halictidae. The record is from RefSeq and is a predicted model, not a curated record.
UGUAAAACAUACUUCUGGUGAAACUGUUUUUCUUACUGUAAACCUGAGGAUACCUCUUAAUUGUUAAUUCUAUUUGUUCCAACGGAUCUUUCGAAUGUUUUAAUAGACAGAUUUAUACAGAGCAAUCAACGUACAUAACGUGAGCUUUCUUCGCGAGGUUCCUUCGAUGGAGAUGAGUCUAACGAUGGCCUCCAUAAUCGCAAUAUCAGGAUACUAAUUAUCUGGCUAAUAUUUUCAAGUGGCGACAAGCAAGAGAUACUACAUAUAUGAAGAUAAUAAUAUCGGAUAGAGGAUGCCAAUAAAGUUGCAAUAGUGAUAACUGAAAGCUCGGAAAUACACAUUCCUUUUGGAAUAAAUCCAGUAAAUUCUUAGUUAGAAAAUCAACAACAGCAGCAGGAAGAUUUCGCGCAAC